This 494-nucleotide ribosomal RNA is filed under the name uncultured bacterium. RNAcentral describes it as "bacterial SSU rRNA". It matches the Rfam family "Bacterial small subunit ribosomal RNA", at positions 28 to 507 of the family's 1533-position model. The record is from RNAcentral.
GAUGAACGCUAGCUACAGGCUUAACACAUGCAAGUCGAGGGGAAACGACAUCGAAAGCUUGCUUUUGAUGGGCGUCGACCGGCGCACGGGUGAGUAACGCGUAUCCAACCUGCCCACCACUUGGGGAUAACCUUGCGAAAGUAAGACUAAUACCCAAUGAUAUCUCUAGAAGACAUCUGAAAGGGAUUAAAGAUUUAUCGGUGAUGGAUGGGGAUGCGUCUGAUUAGCUUGUUGGCGGGGUAACGGCCCACCAAGGCGACGAUCAGUAGGGGUUCUGAGAGGAAGGUCCCCCACAUUGGAACUGAGACACGGUCCAAACUCCUACGGGAGGCAGCAGUGAGGAAUAUUGGUCAAUGGGCGAGAGCCUGAACCAGCCAAGUAGCGUGCAGGACGACGGGCCCUAUGGGUUGUAAACGUGCUUUAUAAGGGAAUAAAGUGGGUCACGUGUGACUUUUUAGCUAUGUACCUUAUGAAUAAGGACGGCUAAUUCCGUG